CAAAGGACAAGGAAAAGUAAUUCACAAGAAAAUAACCAAUACUCAAAGAAUAAAAUGUAUGUAUUUGCUAAUAAUCAAAGUAUAUUGCAAGAGCAAUGAAAUGCCAUAUAUUUAAAGUAUAACUGAUCAGAGAUGAAAGACGAAUGCCGCUGGAGGUGGCGGGACUGCAGGGACGUGGAUUUCCUCCCGCUGCUGCUGAAGUUGAGCUGUUUCCGGCCUUUUGGAGAGUGUUGGCAGCAUGGGUCUAAUGUCCUAGAUCUUUGCAUGUUUUUUGACCUAAUAAUUCCUCUUCAAGGAAUUUAUCCAAUAUGGAGGCCAUUGUGAGCAAAAAGACAGCUUCAAGGACCUGCACGGCGGUGCUGUGGAUAAGUGAGCAUGCUUGCGCACGCUCAGAUGCUCACUAACAGAGGCAGGAGUGCUGAACACGUCCCGCAGCAUCCAGUCAGCGGGACGCUGUGCAAUGUCUUCAGACGAAUGACAAAAGCGUGCAGCAGCAAUCCAGGAAGUGCCAGUAGGGGAUGAAGGAACACGGGGAGCAGCUGCGCGCGAAGCCGCCACUCAGCGGCAGAGGCCUCGGGACCACGCGAGUAGAGCCGGACGCUGCAGAAUCCCUUCUCCAGCCCCAACCGCACGCCUCUUGUGCUCUGCACCCCCUUUCCUCCUGAGAGCCUCCCAAGACGUGGAGAGAGGAGAAGGGAACAGACAGAGCAGCAGGACGGAGGCAGCAAGACUCCGAAUGUACCCGGGUGGGAACCGCCGUCCCGCGCACGUGGCCUGAAGCCGAUUUCUGCAGCCAGCGGAAGAGCCCCUCUGAGGACACUCCCCAAACCCUGUCUCCUCACCUGCCGUGCAGCCACUUGUUUAAGAGAAGACUUGUUUAAGCCACUUGUUGAAGUGAAAUAUUCACUUAAGUGGAUAUUUGUGGGGUGCCCACCAAGUGCUGGGCACUGCUCUGAGCAUCAUCCUGGAUGGAAGCAGGGGCGGGAGGGCCCAGGCCUCCUCCAAAGAACAGGAUGCCCCGG
RNAcentral lists this long non-coding RNA (1022 nucleotides) under Microcebus murinus (gray mouse lemur). RNAcentral's name for it is "lncRNA (ENSMICG00000048678.1)". Lineage: Eukaryota; Metazoa; Chordata; Mammalia; Primates; Cheirogaleidae. The record is from RNAcentral.